This is a long non-coding RNA of Panonychus citri (citrus red mite), 1308 nucleotides long. RefSeq lists it as uncharacterized. The transcript has 4 exons. Lineage: Eukaryota; Metazoa; Arthropoda; Arachnida; Trombidiformes; Tetranychidae. The record is from RefSeq and is a predicted model, not a curated record.
GAAAAAAAGAGAACAAAAUAAAAAAAAGAUUCUUAGGUUAACGAUUAACUGGACUAAACCUUAUUAACCAUUAAUCAUUUUCUAAUAAGCUUAAUUGUUGAGGGGAAAGUUAAUUGUUGACACAAAUUGAAAUUGACUUUUUCUUUCACCAGUAAAUGGAAAAGCAUAAAGAGCAUAAAAAGGGCGUCGCUUAUGUUGAUAGAAAAAUUAAUUUUCUUUAAGAAAAAAAUUUUCUUUUCUUUAUUUUUUUAAUUCUUUGAAUUUGGAUUAAGUUAAUUGUUUGGUAUUUUCUUUGGUGAUUUCAUGGAGUUUGGAAAUUUUUAAUUAUCUCAUGUUGCAAUUGGUUAAUCUUUCUAAAUAAUAAUAAUUCUGUCAUGAUUAUGGUGGUUUCCAUUGACGGUGGUUGGAAAAAUACUUUUAAUGGGAUAUCGGCAAUAGAAUUACUUGUUUUUCUUUGUGUUGGAAAAUGAGUUUUUCUAUAUGUACCAACGGCUCCUUUUUGUUAUAAUCCUAAUUGAAUCUUUUUAAUUAUCUACAUUAAUGCUAAUUUCCAUGUUACUAUUAAUAUAUUUCUCUCCUAGUCACUUAAUCUUUGUAAGAUAAAUGAAUAGAGACAAAGAGAGAGAAUAGUUUUCAAGUAAUAACGAGGCCUCAAACUGUAUGAUCCAUGUGGUGAUUUCAUGGGGCGACACAGAUGAAUUGAUCUGUUAAUUGUAUUGUAUUUGAUUAAUGGAAUGAUGAAAUUACAAUCUACUUACCUGGGUAAUAUUUAACUGUUAUAUCACUACUAUCAACGUUGAUACAGUUUCUUGUCAUAUUGAUACUUUUGCUGUUGGUUAAUCCGGUAAUCACAAAGAUGGAGAAAGUAAGAGAGGAUAAAUUGUAAAAUGCCGGCUAAUUGUGUGGAUUAACAGUUAAAAAUGGACACUGAUGAUAUUCAAUCAAAUGGGAAGAAUUGAUUUGAGCAAUUCAACUUUUGUGAGAAAAAAACUAUUGGACCAAAUAUGAAAUUUGAAUCUGAUUUUUUUUCAAAUUAGAUGAUUGCGGUGAAAGGGAUAACUUAUGGACAAUUCCAGUUUCAUAAAGUUACCGUAAUUCAUUAAUUCUGAAUUAAGAGUAACAAUUUAAAGUACUGUGACUAUUAACUGAGACGAAAAGUUAACUUCUUGAUGUUUUAGAUUCACUUCAGAGCACAAUUCAUUCAACAUGUUUAAAUUCAGCUUUUAAUUAACAGUCUCACUGACAAUUUAACUAAGGAUGGAAUCGUGAUCAUUGAAUUAAUCUGUUAACUGUUGGAUUUCAUCAUGA